CGGAAGGAUCAUUACAGUAAUAUGCUGUAGACCUGGUGUCUUGGAUAAAACCCAUGGGGUGUACUAUUCCCUCAUGUGGCCCCGUAAAAAAGGGAAUCCAGCACCGCCUAACCUUGCAAACUUUUAAAAACGUUACCUCGGCGGGUUUGCCCGCCGGUGGAUAUAUAUUAAAACUCUUUAAAUAUGACUGUAAAUUAGCAUUAAAUGUCUGAAAAUUUAGUUUAAAUAUUAAAACUUUCAACAACGGAUCUCUUGGUUCUGGCAUCGAUGAAGAACGCAGCGAAAUGCGAUAAGUAGUGUGAAUUGCAGAAUUCAGUGAAUCAUCGAAUCUUUGAACGCACAUUGCGCCCCUCGGUAUCCCGGGGGGCAUGCCUGUUCGAGCGUCAUUUCUACCCCUCAAGCUUAGCUUGGUAUUGGGCAUCAUUAUUUUCUUUUUAGGGGAAGUAAUGUGCCUUAAAUAUAGCCGGCGGCAAGCACCAGUUCCGAGCGUAGCAGUAAAACAUUUCGCUUUGGGAAUUUGGAGCAUUGUUAACCGUAUAAAGUCUUUUUUAUAGUUUGACCUCGGAUCAGGCAGGGAUACCCGCUGAACUUAAGCAUAUCAAUAAGCGGAGGAAAAGAAACCAACAGGGAUUGCCUUAGUAACGGCGAGUGAAGCGGCAAUAGCUCAAAUUUGAAAUCUGGCGUCUUUGGGCGUCCGAGUUGUAAUUUGUAGAGGAUGUUUCGGCAUUUGGCUCUAGUCUAAGUCCCUUGGAACAGGGUGUCAUAGAGGGUGAGAAUCCCGUAUGUGAUUAGUUGCCUUUGCCAUGUGAAACUCCUUCGACGAGUCGAGUUGUUUGGGAAUGCAGCUCUAAUUGGGAGGUAAAUUUCUUCUAAAGCUAAAUACUGGCCAGAGACCGAUAGCGCACAAGUAGAGUGAUCGAAAGAUGAAAAGCACUUUGGAAAGAGAGUUAAAAAGUACGUGAAAUUGUUGAAAGGGAAGCGCUUGCAAUCAGACCUGCUUGCAGUUGUUCAUCUAGGCUCUCGGGCCUAGUGCAUUCUUCUGUAAGUCAGGCCAGUAUCGGUUUAGGCGGUUGGAUAAAGAAUUCAGGAAUGUAGCUUCUUUCGGGAAGUGUUAUAGCCUGUUUUGUAAUGCAGCCAGCCUAGAUCGAGGACCGCGCUUCGGCUAGGAUACUGGCGUAAUGGUUGUAAGCGGCCCGUCUUGAAACACGGACCAAGGAGUCUAACAUCUGUGCGAGUGUUUGGGUGUCAAACCCAUGCGCGUAAUGAAAGUGAACGGAGGCGGGAACCUUUUUUUAGGUGCACCGUCGACCGAUCCUGAUGUCUUCGGAUGGAUUUGAGUAAGAGCAUAGCUGUUGGGACCCGAAAGAUGGUGAACUAUGCUUGAAUAGGGUGAAGCCAGAGGAAACUCUGGUGGAGGCUCGCAGCGGUUCUGACGUGCAAAUCGAUCGUCAAAUUUGGGCAUA
RNAcentral lists this small RNA (1463 nucleotides) under Septonema sp. NK413. RNAcentral's name for it is "eukaryotic LSU rRNA". The stretch from base 557 to 1463 matches the Rfam family "Eukaryotic large subunit ribosomal RNA", at positions 1 to 919 of the family's 3401-position model. Lineage: Eukaryota; Fungi; Ascomycota; Dothideomycetes; Venturiales; Cylindrosympodiaceae. The record is from RNAcentral.